RNAcentral lists this ribosomal RNA (433 nucleotides) under uncultured bacterium. RNAcentral's name for it is "partial 16S ribosomal RNA". It matches the Rfam family "Bacterial small subunit ribosomal RNA", at positions 29 to 507 of the family's 1533-position model. The record is from RNAcentral.
AACGAACGCUGGCGGCAGGCCUAACACAUGCAAGUCGAGCGGACCUUUCGGGGUCAGCGGCGGACGGGUGAGUAACGCGUGGGAAUAUGCCCUUCUCUACGGAAUAGUCCUGGGAAACUGGGGGUAAUACCGUAUACGCCCUUUGGGGGAAAGAUUUAUCGGGGAAGGAUUAGCCCGCGUUGGAUUAGGUAGUUGGUGGGGUAAUGGCCUACCAAGCCGACGAUCCAUAGCUGGUUUGAGAGGAUGAUCAGCCACACUGGGACUGAGACACGGCCCAGACUCCUACGGGAGGCAGCAGUGGGGAAUCUUAGACAAUGGGGGCAACCCUGAUCUAGCCAUGCCGCGUGAGUGAUGAAGGCCUUAGGGUUGUAAAGCUCUUUCAGCUGGGAAGAUAAUGACGGUGCCAGCAGAAGAAGCCCCGGCUAACUCCGUG